AAGGAAAUGUGCCUGAACUUUAAAGGGAUACUUUGAUAGAGUACACCACAGGGGUUAAAAUCCCCUCAUCUCC
This 73-nucleotide transfer RNA is filed under the name Brachymeles miriamae (Miriam's skink). Its description in RNAcentral is "tRNA-Xle". It matches the Rfam family "tRNA". Rfam says of the family: Transfer RNA (tRNA) molecules are approximately 80 nucleotides in length. Their secondary structure includes four short double-helical elements and three loops (D, anti-codon, and T loops). Further hydrogen bonds mediate the characteristic L-shaped molecular structure. tRNAs have two regions of fundamental functional importance: the anti-codon, which is responsible for specific mRNA codon recognition, and the 3' end, to which the tRNAs corresponding amino acid is attached (by aminoacyl-tRNA synthetases). tRNAs cope with the degeneracy of the genetic code in two manners: having more than one tRNA (with a specific anti-codon) for a particular amino acid; and 'wobble' base-pairing, i.e. permitting non-standard base-pairing at the 3rd anti-codon position. Lineage: Eukaryota; Metazoa; Chordata; Lepidosauria; Squamata; Scincidae. The record is from RNAcentral.